GGGACCUAGCACCCCCUGCUGGUCACCCACAGGUAGAGCCACAGGAUGGGUCUGGCUCUAACCACCGGCCUCUCCUCACCAGAGUAGUAUCUACUCUGAUGACUAUCUUACCUCCCCUCCUCUUACCCCCAGGGACUGGGUUUCUCUUUUUUUUUUUUUUUUCAGGUUACUCGCAUCUGACAUGGCCUGGCCACUUCCUCAGAAGCUCGUAGCGGCUUUGCUGCUCCUGUGUCUGCUCUAGGUCAGUUUAAACAGCACUGGGGUGAUCCUUCCCUUAAAGGUUUGGUGGAGCCUAAGGGGCCAACCUCAACCUGCAGCUGGCAUCUGGAAAGAAGGCCUCAGUGACUCAGAUGAUUGAUCCAGCAGGACAGUUUCCCUGAAGCUGACCAUAAGUCUCAGAGAUGCAGACGCCUACGUCCUUGGUGUGGGACUCUCCCUCUGUGGGACUCUUCCUCCCUCCAUCCUGGAUCUUCUUGCUGGGCGAGCCUGUAAGAAUUUCACCUGGAAAGGUCACAGCGGAGCUGGUGGGCAGACAGGACCCAGGGAGAGAUGGGCUGGAUUUAGAAGGGGAGAAUUUCUUCAGGCCGGGGCUCUGUGACAGGGUGGCUGCGAGGUCAGGCUGGGCUCUGGUUACCCCUUGCCUCUCCUCCAUCUCUCCCAGAGCCCGCCAGAGAGGAGGAUCACAUGUCGGAGUGUAUGUGUCUGUUGUCUGUUUGGGCAGCUGGGUCACCCCCCGACCCAGCCUCAGCCGCAGCUCUCUGCUGUUCUGUCCGUGGGGGUCCAGGCGGCCGUGGUACUUCUGCCGACCCUGGUUGCCCUCUGCUGCAGCACCUUGUGUCCCGCGACCAGUAGCCGACCGGCAGGCUCCAGUCGUUUCUGUGUCUGCCAAGGACGCAUCUUCCCAACACUUCCCCGUGACAACCUCAGGUGGAAGCAAUUUCACCGUCUUGUAACUCACCGGGUCAUUAUAAUUAGUAUCCCGGCGCCCGGGGCGAGGGCGGAAGAAAGGAAAGAAAAGACUCGAUCCAGCCAGGCGAAGAGCAGCAGCCUCUGGGGGCUGGGGCGGCCUUUCCUCCUGCUCCAGCUCCUAACUCAGAUUUUCUCAGGACUCUGAUUCCAUCACGUCCCUCCCCUCUGUGUGUGCAAGGUGGGAGGUGGUCAAGGAGUCAGGCACUGCUCCGCUGUGCCCUGGGUGUACACAGCGGGAGUCUCUGACCUGAGUGAGGCUCCCCUGCCCCCUGAGAGCCCACAUCUGAGACUGGGGGCCACGGUGAGGGCCCUUUAGGGAGAGAUCAGUACCUCCCACAUCCCCCCGUGGACCCUCCCUGCCUCUGGGUCCCUGCAGCCCCAGAGCCAGAGCCCAUCAAGAGCUGGUGAUGGUGACCAUGGGCACAGCUGGGUUCCCCCCCAGGCACAGCUAGGAUAGGUAUGACUCUGAGAGAAGCAGCCAGGUGGGGAACAGGAUGUGUCAGGGAGCAAGAUUUCCCAUCAGGUUGGUCAAGGCUUUUUGGUUGCAAGCAACAGAAAUAGACUGACUCAAGAUAGGGAAUUUAGGGACUUCCCUGGUGGUCCAGUGAUUCAGAAUCCACCUUGCAAUGCAGGGGACAUGAAUUCGAUCCCUGGUCAGGGAACUAGGAUCCCACAUACGGCAAGACAGCUAAGCCCGUGUGCUAGAACUACUGAGUCCUCACCCUCCAGAGCCCACGAGCCGCGACUAGCGAGGCCAUGCAUCAAGAUGAAAGGUCCUGCUUGACACAACGAAGACCCAAGGCCGCCAAAUAAACACAUGCAUACAUAAAUAUUUUUUAAAAAGAGAGAGAGAAUUUACGGUCGGGUGUUGGGCCACCUCAAAGUUUAAGAGGUGACAGAGGAGAACCGGCAGCUUUGAGAGGUCAGGACCAAAGGAGCCCUAAGGAUCCUGGAAGUCAGGAGAGGUGGCUCUUCUCUCCAGGGAGCAGCUUAUGUGCUCAGUAGCUAGCUCCUGGAACUAAUGUGACUCAGUCCCACAGGUCCCAGCCUCUGUUUUCCAGUUAAGAAUUCCAAAUUCCUCACAGAGGCUCAUUCAUUCAUUCGUUGGUUGGUUCAUUUGUUCCAUAAAUAUUUAUUAAGCCCCUCCUGUGCAACAGGCAGGAUUCAGGAAGGUGCUGAAGGGACAGCAGUGAUCAAAUGAAACUUCCCUUACAUUGUGGGGGGCAGAAUCUGAUGGCUCAGUUUGGGUUGGGGGUCCAUCCUAAGCCAAUCAACUGUGGCCAGGCAGGUUUUCGUGAGCCAGGAGGCCACCCCAAAUGGAUCCUACUACAGUGGUCAAAUCGCCCUUUAA
This is a long non-coding RNA of Bubalus bubalis (water buffalo), 2320 nucleotides long. RefSeq lists it as uncharacterized. The record is from RefSeq and is a predicted model, not a curated record. The transcript has 3 exons. NCBI's taxonomy places the organism in Eukaryota, Metazoa, Chordata, Mammalia, Artiodactyla, Bovidae.